AACCCGACAGUUUAAAUAAGUGUUAAAUGCUACCAUUAAACUUAUCAUAUAUCACGCAUAGACCGAUUUUGUUUACCGUAGUAACAAUUUCAGCGUGAAUCACCCAUCACACAGUGAAUCACUGAAAUUUACCCAAUAUCAGUAUCACUUACGCAACUGCAGACAGCUGCUUAAUACAGUCACACUUGUCUUGACUUGGCGCAAUAAAAAUCUUCAUUGAGACACCCGUUCACGCGGGCAGAUCGGUGAUCAUUUUUGUUUUGUUGCAUUCACGCAUACAAAAUUUUUUGAUUUCUCUGUAUCGCUUAUUCUUAAGGACAACGCGUUACACCGUGACAAAUUUCUUUAUGGAUAACUCAGGGAAAGUUUGGCUAAUACGUACGAGUACAUUUUUUUCUACACACACACACACACACUCACAAUUAUUUUUGURUCGCUGUGUAUCAACUACUACUCAGCACUCAAUGGUAAACUUUGGCUGCGCUUGCGCGGUCAGUUUAAAGUUUAACUGCAACAUGAGAGACAUUGAGCACGCACGUGUUGUGUCUUCGGACGCUUCACAUCACGCUGAGCAGACUUUGCGAAGUUUACUUUGCGAAGCAUGUCAUACAAGCAUCUACAGCAUCAAGUCACAGGGUUGGCAAGUGUAUUUUUGAACCUUCAAAGCAGUCACGCAUACGGAAGAGUAGUUUCUGAUCCCAUAGAAGGAGCACCGUACAAUGAGAGACCGCUCUUAGUUCUAAGGAACGCAGCAGGCGCGUAAAUUGCCCAAUGCUAGUACCCUACAAUCAAAUUGUAUUUACAUGCGUUAACAAUUUACAACAUUACAAGUUUUAAUGACAGACAUUAUCAACACUUUCAUUUUUUCUGUUAUAUCAUACACAUAUUAUCCUUGUUCGUUGUACAUCAGCAUAUAUAGUAUUAAUUUAUUAUUUUACUGAGGCAGUGACAAGCUGUAACGGUUGAGUAUAAAAAUGACGAGUGUCUGGCAUUGCCGCUCUUUCGGGAGCUUGGCAAGUUGCCGACGCUUUGUGUGCUCAAUUGGAAUGCGGUGAGUUUAAGCAACUCAGAACCUUUGGACGGUGUUAGUAAAAUU
This 1096-nucleotide ribosomal RNA is filed under the name Cibicidoides dispars. RNAcentral's name for it is "SSU rRNA". The record is from RNAcentral. Lineage: Eukaryota; Foraminifera; Rotaliida; Anomalinidae.